GUUUUAGCAGCCGCGGUAAUACGGAGGGUGCGAGCGUUGUUCGGAAUUAUUGGGCGUAAAGCGCGUGCAGGCGGUUGCUUAAGUCUGAUGUGAAAGCCCUGGGCUCAACCCGGGAAGUGCAUUGGAAACUGGGCAACUUGAGUACGGGAGAGGGUAGUGGAAUUCCGAGUGUAGGGGUGAAAUCCGUAGAUAUUCGGAGGAACACCGGUGGCGAAGGCGGCUACCUGGACCGAUACUGACGCUGAGACGCGAAAGCGUGGGGAGCAAACAGGAUUAGAAACCCUCGUAGUCC
This 292-nucleotide ribosomal RNA is filed under the name uncultured bacterium. Its description in RNAcentral is "partial 16S ribosomal RNA". It matches the Rfam family "Bacterial small subunit ribosomal RNA", at positions 505 to 796 of the family's 1533-position model. The record is from RNAcentral.